Phascolarctos cinereus (koala) is the source of this 937-nucleotide non-coding RNA. NCBI's taxonomy places the organism in Eukaryota, Metazoa, Chordata, Mammalia, Diprotodontia, Phascolarctidae. The record is from RefSeq and is a predicted model, not a curated record.
UAUGUGCUGGAGAAUGACAAACUAUGGAAUCUAACGAAAAGAAGUGAACUAUGUGAAACAGGACUAGAGUGGAUUUGGGAACUGAGAUACAGAAGGUGAAGUUAGUGGUUCUGGGAGCUGAGCUACAUGACGAGGAGUCAUGGAGUCAGGCUUCUCAAGGGUUCUGGGAGAAGGAGGAGGGCAUAUGCUUCCUACACUACCCGCCCCAGCAUUAAAGCUUGAGACUUUAAUUAUAGAGAAGAAGAUGAUUUCGCAUCUGUCUGGAAAACAAGGUUGACAUGAGAGAGAUUGAUUUUGGAUGCCAAGAAAUCACUUAGCCUCCACAGAAUCUUCAGCUUCACAACAUCAUGGAAUAUGCUUUACCAGAGAGGCAAAUGAGAACAGACGAUGCAGGUGAUCCAGAUGUCCUUUAUCCUGCUUAAAGGAUCCAGAGAUGAAACAAUUACCAUCAAACUAGGGGAUAACCCGAAAGCAGCAAUUCCUCCAGGGAAGUGUGAUCAGGAUGCUGGGUGACUGAAAACCUCACCAAACAAGGGUCAAAUUAAAGGAACUGUGGAUAUUUAGCUUGGAACAGAGGAAACUCAAGAAUUUAACCAUAGUCAAGUGCUUGGAGGACUAUCGGGUAGAAGGAGAAUUGCAAUUUUUCUAUCUGGCCCCAAAGGAUAGACCUAGGAUCACUGGAAGAAAAAGCAACAAGAAAUAUUUAGUUAGUGUAUACUAUAUUCAGAGCACUGUGCUAGGCAAUGGGGGGAGAUAGAAAGAUUAGAAAAGAGAUGAUGCCUGUGCUCAAGGAGCUUACAGUCUCACAGAGAGCUAAAACAACAGACAGAUAGCUAUGAUUCAUAAUAUUACAUGCUAAGUACGUUAUCAAUAUUAGUCAUUGCACAACGUGGCUGUUAUUGUGUACAACGUUCUCUUGGUUCUGCUCAUUUCACUC